UGAGACGGAGUCCCGCUCUGUCACCAAGGCGGUAGUGCAGUGGCGUGAUCUCGGCUCACUGCUGAUACGGCUCCCAUGAGUGGAGGGACACCAGGGCUCUUGUCUUACCUUGAAUUAGGUAAAACAACACUGACACACGUGGAGUGGUUUUAAAGAGCGGAGAGUUUAAUAGGCAAGAAAGAAGGCAGAACUUAGAGGCUUCCCCUUACAGAGACAGAGGGAGGGGGGCUCCAAAGCCGAAAGAGGAGGGCCCCAAGUGUGGUGGACGCCAGCCAGGUAUACAUGCAGAGGCCGGAGGAGGCGAUCUGAUUUGCACAGGGCUUAGCGGAUUGGUUUGACCAGGCAUGUUUUAUUCACGUAGCAGGGAAAAAGCUGGCCCUCCCUUCCUAGCCUUUUAAUAUGCAAAUGCAGGGCGCUGUGACGUUCUACGCAUGUGGGGAUAUGUGGCGGACGUUGCCAGGAACAUGUGGGGCAAGGGCAAGAAGGCAGCAGUAACCGCCAUGUUUGGGAAAAGCUCCAGAAACUCCCCUAGCAAGGCUGGAUCUCUCCAAGCUUCAGAAAGAGGAAGACAACUGAACAGGCAGGGCUCGCAUCUUCUUUAGAGGCGGUGGAGUUGGGGGACAGCUGGUAACAGGAUAGAUAGCAACAACCACCUUGAAGAUAAUGCACGAAGUGUCGGCACUGCACAGUACAUGAAUGAUCUCACUUAACUCCCGUGCAAACCCUAUGCCAUGGCUGCUAUUAUCAUUCACGUUUACAGGAUGAGGAAACUAAUGCUCAUGCAGGGUGAAAGCCUCCCUUCCCUACAUCAUAAUCAUCAGAGCAUAUUUAAUUCCUCUCUGGGAGGGAGCCCUUUGGGAACUGCUGGCGGGAGCCUAAAUGAGUCCUCUUACCUCCUUCUUACGUGCCUAGGCUGGAGGUGGCAUGGCAUCAUAAAAGCUAAAGUCUUAAGGUCUUUCAAUCUGUAUCUUCUUCAAAUUUCAGCAUCUUAGUUUUGCAAA
Molecule: long non-coding RNA, 1001 nt
Organism: Homo sapiens (human)
Lineage: Eukaryota; Metazoa; Chordata; Mammalia; Primates; Hominidae
Exons: 3
Source: RefSeq, a predicted model, not a curated record